CCUACGGGACGCAGCAGUUAGGAAUAUUCGUCAAUGGGGGAAACCCUGAACGAGCAAUGCCGCGUGAAGGAUGACGGUCCUAUGGAUUGUAAACUUCUGUUGUUAGGGAAGAACGACCUAAGUAGGAAAUGACUUAGGAGUGACGGUACCUUUCAAGAAAGCUCCGGCUAACUACGUGCCAGCAGCCGCGGUAAUACGUAGGGAGCGAGCGUUAUCCGGAUUUAUUGGGUGUAAAGGGUGCGUAGGCGGCCUUACAGGUCUGUGGUUUAAGCCCGAAGCUUAACUUCGGUUCGCCACAGAAACCG
RNAcentral lists this ribosomal RNA (305 nucleotides) under uncultured bacterium. Its description in RNAcentral is "bacterial SSU rRNA". It matches the Rfam family "Bacterial small subunit ribosomal RNA", at positions 338 to 635 of the family's 1533-position model. The record is from RNAcentral.